RNAcentral lists this ribosomal RNA (422 nucleotides) under uncultured soil bacterium. RNAcentral describes it as "bacterial SSU rRNA". It matches the Rfam family "Bacterial small subunit ribosomal RNA", at positions 56 to 472 of the family's 1533-position model. The record is from RNAcentral.
UGCAAGUCGAACGGCAGCACAGGAUAGCUUGCUAUCCGGGUGGCGAGUGGCGGACGGGUGAGUAACGCGUAGGAAUCUACCUUUUCGUGGGGGAUAACCCGGGGAAACUCGGGCUAAUACCGCAUACGCCCUACGGGGGAAAGCGGGGGACCUUCGGGCCUCGCGCGGAAUGAUGAGCCUGCGUCCUAUCAGGUAGUUGGUGAGGUAAUGGCUCACCAAGCCGACGACGGGUAGCUGGUCUGAGAGGACGACCAGCCACACUGGGACUGAGACACGGCCCAGACUCCUAAGGGAGGCAGCAGUGGGGAAUAUUGGACAAUGGGGGAAACCCUGAUCCAUCAAUACCGCGUGUGUGAAGAAGGCCUUCGGGUUGUAAAAAACAUUUACCAGGAAAGAACGGCCGUGCGCUAAUAUCGCUUGGU